Long non-coding RNA from Humulus lupulus (European hop), 929 nucleotides. RefSeq lists it as uncharacterized. The transcript is spliced from 2 exons. The record is from RefSeq and is a predicted model, not a curated record. Lineage: Eukaryota; Viridiplantae; Streptophyta; Magnoliopsida; Rosales; Cannabaceae.
CUUUCCACUUGUGAGCUCUAGAACCUUCUUUAGGGUUGUGAUCCCAUUUUCCUUGUUCCAGUAGCAAUUCGGAUUCUCGUCCACCCAACUCUUUGUUUUUGUGGUGGUUUUGAUCAUUUAAUGCUCUGAUUCUACUCAUUACUUGUGUUUGCAGUACCAAUUACAAUUAAUUUUGAAGUGCCAUUUAUGUUUUAUUCCCUCCUUUUUCUCUCUAUCUAUAUCUCUCUGUCACUCGUUUUGUUUGUUUCUCGUGAUCUUGCCUCUCUGUGAUGAUGUCCUGCUGCCAUUUACACUUCUCAAGGAUUUUAAAGAUUAUUAUGCCUAAAUUUAGGCCAGUGGUAUGGAGAAGUAAACCUGGUGCGCUAUCAUUACGAUAUUUGGUAUCGAUCUUCCCUUUUGCCUAAGGUAUGUGACCUCUCCUUAUUUAUGCCUUUGCUGGGUUUAUUUACGAUCACUGCUUGUUCAUCUUUAUCCUAAAUUAAGGAAAAUUAGAACCCUAAUUUCUAUUAUGGCUUCGAACCUUGAUGAUGGUUUACAAACGAUGUCCCAUUCGCUGUCACGAACUCAUGAAGAGAAUAUUGUUCAUACCCUACUUGAAUCACCAGAGCUGUUGGUGACGUGGCAAGAAUUUUCGACACGUGGCCGAACACGUGGCAGAGAUACUGCUCGCCUAUCGACCUGAAAUAUUUCUACAUGCGAAGUUCAAGUUUUAUAUAUGACCAGACUGGUCGUAUACUUCGUGCAUUUAUGUAAAGAUCUGUACAGUUGUAAUGAUAUCCGAGAAUAUCUCUUCAUUAUGACCUGAAGAUCCGUUUAUUAAGGAAAGAUAUUAUUAUUAAAUUCAUGUAAUCCUUCUUGAGCCUAUAAAUACAUAAGAAAUAGCUCAAGGGAGGGAUCUUUUUCUCUUUUUCCGAAUUAGAUUACUAUUA